Molecule: transfer RNA, 69 nt
Filed under: Marmota monax (woodchuck)
Lineage: Eukaryota; Metazoa; Chordata; Mammalia; Rodentia; Sciuridae
Description: tRNA.Thr
Source: RNAcentral
GGAGUUGUGGCUCAGUGGUAGAGCGCUCACCUAGUAAGCAUGAGGCACUGUGUUCGAUCCUCAGCACCA